GACGAACGCUGGCGGCGUGCUUAACACAUGCAAGUCGAACGGAAAGGCCCUGCUUUUGUGGGGUGCUCGAGUGGCGAACGGGUGAGUAACACGUGAGUAACCUGCCCUUGACUUUGGGAUAACUUCAGGAAACUGGGGCUAAUACCGGAUAGGAGCUCCUGCUGCAUGGUGGGGGUUGGAAAGUUUCGGCGGUUGGGGAUGGACUCGCGGCUUAUCAGCUUGUUGGUGGGGUAGUGGCUUACCAAGGCUUUGACGGGUAGCCGGCCUGAGAGGGUGACCGGCCAAAUUGGGACUGAGAUACAGCCCAGACUCCUACGGGAGGCAGCAGUGGGGAAGAUUGCACAAUGGGCGGAAGCCUGAAGCAGCAACGCCGCGUGCGGGAUGACGGCCUUCGGGUUGUAAACCGCUUUCGCCUGUGACGAGGCGUGAGUGACGGUAAUGGGUAAAGAAGCACCGGCUAACUACGUG
RNAcentral lists this ribosomal RNA (468 nucleotides) under uncultured bacterium. RNAcentral describes it as "partial 16S ribosomal RNA". It matches the Rfam family "Bacterial small subunit ribosomal RNA", at positions 28 to 507 of the family's 1533-position model. The record is from RNAcentral.